AAAAGUUACUUGAAAAUACAUGAACAAAUUCAUACUGGCGAAAAGCUGUUUCAGUGUAAAAUCUGCUCUAAAUCAUUCCGUCAAUGCAGUCAUUUGAAAGAACAUGAAAAAAUUCAUACCGGCGAAAAACCGUCUCAGUGUAAAAUUUGCUCUAAAUCAUUCCGUCAAUGCAGUCAUUUGAAAGAACAUGAAAAAAUUCAUUCUGGCGAAAAACUUUUCAGUGUAAUAUCUGCUUAAAUUCAUUCAGUUAGUAUAAUAAUUUGAAAAGACGUGACAAUGGUUAUUAGCAAAAAUACAUCUUUGUGUAAAAUCUGCUCCAAAUCAUUCAUUGAGAGACGUAACUUGAAGUUGAAUGAACAAAUUCAUACUGCUCAAAGUCAUUCACUAAAAGUAGGCCCUUGAGAAAAGAAUAACUUCAUACUGGAAAGAAACCAUUUUAGUAUAAAAUAAAUUAUCUCCUGAAGAUUCCAACUUGAAUAAACGUGAAACAUGUACAAGACGAACUUCUGUGAGGUAUCUUCCGCAAAUGUCUGUCGGAUAUAAUUCAAUGUCCAGCAUGAUAUUAGCCGGGAAAGUAGCUAUUUUCCAGCAUGCGUUUACCAGAACCCACUGUUUAGGUACUUUGGUAGAGUUGAACGAUUUGAGGUUUAUUUUCUUGAAUUCAUUACUAGGUUAUUGAAUGCAAAAUAGCAGAUUGGAAAAAAAAAUGAAUACUGAAUCCUAAUUAUAGUGAAAAUGCAGUAAAAUUAAAAAGCGUUACUAUUAAGAAGAUACAAUGAAAUCGUUAAUUGAGUAUAUAAUUUCUGGCCUGACCAAUUGCGACCGGCAGAUUUCAUUAAAGAAUUGAUGAAGCUCAACAAAACUCUGAUUGACUUUUUAAUCUAACAGUUGUCCAGUGACGAAAUAGUAUCAUUUUUAAGUAAUCGACCGAUUAAUCUGAAUUUCCGAAAUUGUCAAUCUUAUAAAAUUGUAGAUAUUGUCGAAAAAGUAUAAAUUGAUAUGUUCGAUACCAUGUAGUUGGUCUAUGAAUAAAUAAAUUUCUUUCUUUCGUUCUUGAUGAUUGGUGAUAUGGCUCAAUUUAAGAAUCCUGCUUCUCAUGUUUGGAUGCGGAUAGGAACUGGGAACAAUGAAAGAUUAUAGAAAUGUGUAAACAGCUAGGUUAAACAUUAGCCAAAAGUUUUAUCGGUUUUCAUGCUUUCUCUGGGUGUGAUUUUAGUUCUGCUUUCUUCAAUAAAGGAAAAAGAAGGUCAUUUACUUUGCUGAAAGAUAGUUUUGAAUUCAAAUAGGCUUUUGCACCUCUUGAUGACCAAGAUUUAACAGAGCAUGAGUUACAUCUAUUGUUUAGUAUUAAUGAAGGGUUCACUUGCCAGAUGAAUAAUGCCAAAAAAUGUGAAGACAGUGGAUGAUGGACGAUAUCAGAUAUUUAUCAACAGCUACAAGGCUGCUGAAUGAAAGUUUCAGCAAAAAAGUGUAUACUUUUGAUGCAACUUCAAUACUACCGAACAAGUCUGAGUUUUAUCGACAAUUUUUGAGGGCUCAUUACACUUCUUGUAUUUGGAGAAAUGCCUUCAAAAAGCAACCUACAAAGUUGAAUCCAUUGGAAUAUUGUUGGAUUCAACGAGAAAAUUCAUUUGUCUUCAAAUGGUGUGAAGGAGAUCAACGUCCAGGCUUUGUUAGUGACUUUAUUAGUGAAAUCCGUGAAACUGAUGUAAUGGAUAAUGAAGAUGACUUUCAUGGCGAGGAAAACUUUGAAGAAGAUGAGUGAGCAGAAAAUAAUAUAAUGUAUACGAUUAAAAAUGUAUAUGUGUCCACUUAACACUUUUAAAUUUCGCCUCGAACACAAAAUAAACAAGUUGAAUUACAA
This is a long non-coding RNA of Leptinotarsa decemlineata (Colorado potato beetle), 1864 nucleotides long. RefSeq lists it as uncharacterized. The record is from RefSeq and is a predicted model, not a curated record. Lineage: Eukaryota; Metazoa; Arthropoda; Insecta; Coleoptera; Chrysomelidae.